CGGGAAUCCUAGUGUGCUGGGUAGU
This 25-nucleotide non-coding RNA is filed under the name Mus musculus (house mouse). The record is from RNAcentral. Lineage: Eukaryota; Metazoa; Chordata; Mammalia; Rodentia; Muridae.